UACGAAGGGUGCAAGCGUUAAUCGGAAUUACUGGGCGUAAAGCGUGCGCAGGCGGCUUUGCAAGACAGAUGUGAAAUCCCCGGGAUCAACCUGGGAACUGCAUUUGUGACUGCAAGGCUAGAGUAGGGCAGAGGGGGAUGGAAUUCCGCGUGUAGCAGUGAAAUGCGUAGAUAUGCGGAGGAACACCGAUGGCGAAGGCAAUCCCCUGGGCCUGUACUGACGCUCAUGCACGAAAGCGUGGGGAGCAAACAGG
RNAcentral lists this ribosomal RNA (253 nucleotides) under uncultured bacterium. RNAcentral describes it as "partial 16S ribosomal RNA". It matches the Rfam family "Bacterial small subunit ribosomal RNA", at positions 524 to 776 of the family's 1533-position model. The record is from RNAcentral.